This 136-nucleotide unclassified non-coding RNA is filed under the name uncultured fungus. Its description in RNAcentral is "sequence contains ITS1". The record is from RNAcentral. Lineage: Eukaryota; Fungi.
CCGAGUUUCUUACUCAAAACCCUGCGAACCUACCUCUCUAUGCUUCGGCGGUCGGCCCCGGGGGGCGCUAAAACGGCCGCCGACAGUAUUCAAAAUCUCUGUCAGUGUAUUCUGAGUAACCAAAGAAAACAAAUCA